CUUGAAACACGGACCAAGGAGUUUAUCGUGUNCGCAAGUCNUUGGGUGAGUAAAACCCAAAGGCGAAAUGAAAGUAAAGAGCUGAGUUUUGAGAAAAAAAUUUUUUUUUUUUCUUAUACCUCUCUUAAGGGAGGAUGGAAAUUGCAUUUAUAAUUAAUUGUAGUUUACUAUAAUAGUUGUAUAUGUUUGUUUCCCGCACUCCCGGGGCGCUUGUAUCACGCUUUGCGUGUCAAUGCGCACCUAGAGCGUACACGCUGAUACCCGAAAGAUGGUGAACUAUGCCUGGCCAGGACGAAGCCAGGGGAAACCCUGGUGGAGGUCCGCAGCGAUUCUGACGUGCAAAUCGAUCGUCGGAGCUGGGUAUAGGGGCGAAAGACCAAUCGAACCAUCUAGUAGCUGGUUCCCUCUGAAGUUUCCCUCAGGAUA
RNAcentral lists this ribosomal RNA (426 nucleotides) under Leogorrus sp. CW-2009. Its description in RNAcentral is "partial 28S ribosomal RNA". It matches the Rfam family "Eukaryotic large subunit ribosomal RNA", at positions 653 to 980 of the family's 3401-position model. The record is from RNAcentral. Lineage: Eukaryota; Metazoa; Arthropoda; Insecta; Hemiptera; Reduviidae.